RNAcentral lists this long non-coding RNA (200 nucleotides) under Lathyrus oleraceus (garden pea). Its description in RNAcentral is "Pisum sativum (pea) long non-coding RNA (PSAT_LNC022998)". The record is from RNAcentral. Lineage: Eukaryota; Viridiplantae; Streptophyta; Magnoliopsida; Fabales; Fabaceae.
UGUUUUCGAUCUUGGUUUAGUGGAGAAAUAAAGUUUCGUAAAUGGAAGAAGAUGUUUGGAGGUAGAAGAUGAUGUUCAUCUAAGUUGGAAAUUCAUUUAAGUUUUAGGUUUCACGCGGAUCACUGAUGGUAGUGUCUUGAGCGUUGAUACUCACUAAAUGAACGAAAAAGGUUUGUUUAAGAACGGUGAAGAAACUCUAU